Molecule: ribosomal RNA, 253 nt
Filed under: uncultured bacterium
Lineage: Bacteria
Description: partial 16S ribosomal RNA
Rfam family: Bacterial small subunit ribosomal RNA
Source: RNAcentral
UACGGAGGGUGCGAGCGUUGUCCGGAAUCACUGGGCGUAAAGGGCGCGUAGGCGGAUGUGUCAGUCAGGGGUGAAAUCCCGGAGCUCAACUUCGGAACUGCCUUUGAUACAGCACGUCUUGAGUCCGAUAGAGGUGGGUGGAAUUCCUAGUGUAGAGGUGAAAUUCGUAGAUAUUAGGAAGAACACCGGUGGCGAAGGCGGCCCACUGGAUCGGUACUGACGCUGAGGUGCGAAAGCGUGGGGAGCAAACAGG